ACACUAUCAAUCUCUCAGUUCACAUAGACUGCGGUAUACAAACCACCAUCAGGGGAAGCAACAAUCUCCUGUACAAGUAUCCAAACUCCCGAACAGAAAUCCACGAAACACCAUUAGCCGCCGAACAAAUAUAUCCACCAAGCGGCUUUCGGCUCCAUCAAUCAGUCUCUAGUCGUCGGUAAUAAAUCCCCCCAAUAACGAGACUACGCUCCGCAUUGAGGGUCAAACAGGAUCUGGCUUUACUGUGGGCUACCCGCCCGUAUUUAUGCAGGUCUCCCACUUGGUGGACACUCCCCUAGGGGACCAAAUGGGAGACUGUAAUGACAGAUGGACAUGGGGACAUUUCAGACAUACAAAUACAACCUUUUCCCACAAUGCAAUAUGGUUUCCUCCCCUCUGCCCUGGAGAUAAUUGAGAAGUAAUUCAAUUAUCUCCAGGACAAAGACAAAUCGCCAUCUUAAAUAGAAUGCCAGAAAAC
This is a non-coding RNA of Pelobates cultripes (western spadefoot toad), 478 nucleotides long. Lineage: Eukaryota; Metazoa; Chordata; Amphibia; Anura; Pelobatidae. The record is from the annotation of a GenBank genome assembly.